This 253-nucleotide ribosomal RNA is filed under the name uncultured bacterium. Its description in RNAcentral is "partial 16S ribosomal RNA". It matches the Rfam family "Bacterial small subunit ribosomal RNA", at positions 524 to 776 of the family's 1533-position model. The record is from RNAcentral.
UACGGAGGGAGCUAGCGUUGUUCGGAAUUACUGGGCGUAAAGCGCACGUAGGCGGCUUUGUAAGUUAGAGGUGAAAGCCCGGGGCUCAACCCCGGAAUUGCCUUUAAGACUGCAUCGCUUGAAUCCGGGAGAGGUGAGUGGAAUUCCGAGUGUAGAGGUGAAAUUCGUAGAUAAUCGGAAGAACACCAGUGGCGAAGGCGGCUCACUGGACCGGCAUUGACGCUGAGGUGCGAAAGCGUGGGGAGCAAACAGG